AUUGAACGCUGGCGGCAGGCCUAACACAUGCAAGUCGAACGGUAACAGGAAGAAGCUUGCUUCUUUGCUGACGAGUGGCGGACGGGUGAGUAAUGUCUGGGAAACUGCCUGAUGGAGGGGGAUAACUACUGGAAACGGUAGCUAAUACCGCAUAACGUCGCAAGACCAAAGAGGGGGACCUUCGGGCCUCUUGCCAUCGGAUGUGCCCAGAUGGGAUUAGCUAGUAGGUGGGGUAACGGCUCACCUAGGCGACGAUCCCUAGCUGGUCUGAGAGGAUGACCAGCCACACGGGAACUGAGACACGGUCCAGACUCCUACGGGAGGCAGCAGUGGGGAAUAUUGGACAAUGGGCGCAAGCCUGAUGCAGCCAUGCCGCGUGUAUGAAGAAGGCCUUCGGGUUGUAAAGUACUUUCAGCGGGGAGGAAGGGAGUAAAGUUAAUACCUUUGCUCAUUGACGUUACCCGCAGAAGAAGCACCGGCUAACUCCGUG
This 490-nucleotide ribosomal RNA is filed under the name uncultured bacterium. RNAcentral's name for it is "partial 16S ribosomal RNA". It matches the Rfam family "Bacterial small subunit ribosomal RNA", at positions 30 to 507 of the family's 1533-position model. The record is from RNAcentral.